RNAcentral lists this long non-coding RNA (387 nucleotides) under Hordeum vulgare. RNAcentral describes it as "long non-coding RNA (HVUL_LNC012928)". The record is from RNAcentral. Lineage: Eukaryota; Viridiplantae; Streptophyta; Magnoliopsida; Poales; Poaceae.
UCCCACCUUCUCUCCCUCUGUGCUACCGGCUCGGAAGGACCAGAUUGCAGCCCAAACCUGCCCAAGACAAACUGGUUUGGUUUGCACCUAUUUUCAAUUAGGUCCUUGUCUUACCAAGUUUUGUGUAAGGCACCCUACAAUCCAUAGACUGCUGCAUUAUUAUGUAUUUCUACAUCCCAAAAUCUUUUCUCAAAUGUGAACCGAGCGUAACCCACAUGGUUACCAAUCUAUCAAGGUUCAACAUAAGAUGUUGUGUCGGCUUAAUAUCUUUGAAAUGCUCAUAUAACUAGAGUAUGAGUGUGUGUACGUGUGUUGUGUGUACAUGAGCAUUUACGAUUUUAUUGUAGUUUAUCUCACAAAGUGACUAGUUGGUGUACUUGGUACGAG